This 438-nucleotide ribosomal RNA is filed under the name uncultured bacterium. Its description in RNAcentral is "bacterial SSU rRNA". It matches the Rfam family "Bacterial small subunit ribosomal RNA", at positions 29 to 507 of the family's 1533-position model. The record is from RNAcentral.
AACGAACGCUGGCGGCAUGCCUAACACAUGCAAGUCGAACGAGACCUUCGGGUCUAGUGGCGCACGGGUGCGUAACGCGUGGGAAUCUGCCCUUAGGUACGGAAUAACUCAGGGAAACUUGUGCUAAUACCGUAUGAUGUCGAGAGACCAAAGAUUUAUCGCCUAAGGAUGAGCCCGCGUAGGAUUAGCUAGUUGGUGGGGUAAAGGCCUACCAAGGCUACGAUCCUUAGCUGGUCUGAGAGGAUGAUCAGCCACACUGGGACUGAGACACGGCCCAGACUCCUACGGGAGGCAGCAGUGGGGAAUAUUGGGCAAUGGAGGAAAGCCUGACGGAGCAAUACCGCGUGAGGGAAGAAUGCCUAUGGGUUGUAAACCUCUUUUUUCUAGGGAGGAAUAAAAUGACGUGUACCUGAAGAAUAAGCAUCGGCUAACUCCGUG